CACCCGGGGCAGAAACAGCACAGGGGUCCCUGAUAUCUCCCGUCCCGGGCCGGGUCUGAGGAGUGCGCUCGAACCCCCCGACCCCACGUUUCCACCCGCUCUCAGCAGGAGGUUCAGAGGAGAGUCUGGAUUCACAGAGAACAAAAGCGGAAUUAGCGCCUCUUUUGUUUUUGUGGUCUCGUGUCUGUCUGGCGUGAGCUCCUUGGGCGAUCGGAAGACAUCGAUUCCUGCUGUUUUUGUUGACGCUGUGCUCCUCACUGCUCCUCCCACAGGUGUCCGGCGCUCCACAGCUGACCUGGAAACCAAUGAUUGAUGACAUCAUUUAAAGGGCUGCUCCAGUUCUCUUUUGUCUUCUCCAGAUGUUAACUGAUGGACUGGAGUGCUGUGGAUUACUUGUGGAUUAUUGUGAUGUUUUUAUCAGCUGUUUGGACUCUCAUUCUGACGGCACCCAUUCACUGCAGAGCAUCCAUUGAUGAGACACUGAUGCAGUGCUACAUUUCUACAAACCUGAUGAAGAAACAAACUCAUCCUGAUCUCAGAUGAUCUGAGGCAGACGCUGCUCGGCGGUGUUAUUUAGCAACUUUUAAAUGCUCCAAUUAUGUAAAUUACAGGAAGAUUACUUCUCAUGAUUACAGUAAUGGCGAGGAGGAUCACCGUAAUGGAGGUGGACUGUAAAUAAGCAGAAGGCCUUCUUGACAAAUGAAUCCAUUAACAUUUCCCAGUGUCACCUGGCAAGGAGACUUGCCGUUUAUGAGGCAGAAAAAACAGGCCUGUAAAUCUGACGAUCGGCGGAGACCUGAAACCUGCGCGUUCAUGAUGCAGCACUUUAUCUGGCUCUGAAAUGGCAUCUUUAUCUGCUUAAAUUAAGUUUUGAUUCCUUGCCACAUACGGUGUUGCAAAUCACUUUUAACGCCGAUAUCGAGAGUGGCACUAAAGUCGGCCUGUGGCCAUGAAAAACUGCUUUUUAUUUUGUAGCAUCCUUGUGUUGUGCCGGUUUGCUUUAACCCCUGCAUAUUCUCUCAGCAUAAUCUAUCACAGAAAGAUGCUCUAAAAAGUCAUUGAGUCAAGGUUUAUGGGCAGAAUAAAUUUCCAAUUUAAAUUUGGUUUUACCGCUGUGUGUCAGAGAAGGAUUCCCUGACUUCUGUUUCACUUCAUAACGCCGGCCUGAAGUCAGCGCUUUAGAGACGCCGAGAUUGAUAGAGUUUUUUUUUCUCAAGGACGCCCAUCAUUCGCUCAGGCGUUAACGUCUUUGUUAAUGGAGGAGAAGGGCUGUCGCACCAAUGACUGACAGGUCUUUCAUCGUUAGCAAACGCUGAGUGACAGUUUGGGGGAAAAGCACCAAUGAGCUGAGAGAGGUGAGUUUAUGUUGAUGUUGCUGUUUGGGUUUGAUUAGAGCAGAGCUUCUCCAGCGGUUUGUCAUCAGGAUUUACACUGAAAAAAAAAAAAAAAAAACUGGGGUAGAAACAAUUCUCAUGUAGAAACUGCACGUAAAUUUCACAAAUCGUUACUAAGUAAUGGCAAUAACACAUUGAAAUAAUCAUGAAAUUUUGAAGUGGACAAACCAAAAUAGUAUUUUCUUGUAACAUGCACUCCAAUAAUUUUAUUUACAACAUUGAAAAUUUAGUUUUACAGUGCAGAUUUUACAUCAAUGGUCUCAAGCUCACAGCUCUGCAGAGUUCAGCUCCAACCAGCUCCAAAUCACACCUGCUUGAAAGUUUCAUAUAUAGUUUUAAUUAACUAUUUAACUUUAACAAAUUGUUGCUUGAAAUAAAAUAGACAUUAACUGAAAAAAUAAAGAUGUGCUAAAAAUAACAAGAAUUUUAAAUAAAAAUUAAUACAAACUAUAUAUAAACAAACCACUAAAAAUUACAAAAACACACAACAAAAUUACAAAAACUUUAACUAAAAUUAAAAAAAGCAUUUCCAUUAUUUAAUAAUACAGACACUAAAUAGACAUUAAUGAAAUAAAAUAGACAUUAUUGAUAUAAAAGAAAAUAUAAAACCUUUUUAUU
Molecule: long non-coding RNA, 2012 nt
Organism: Cyprinus carpio carpio
Lineage: Eukaryota; Metazoa; Chordata; Actinopteri; Cypriniformes; Cyprinidae
Source: Ensembl